This 95-nucleotide ribosomal RNA is filed under the name Lactobacillus sp. HBUAS51381. RNAcentral's name for it is "partial 16S ribosomal RNA". It matches the Rfam family "Bacterial small subunit ribosomal RNA", at positions 1 to 90 of the family's 1533-position model. Lineage: Bacteria; Bacillati; Bacillota; Bacilli; Lactobacillales; Lactobacillaceae. The record is from RNAcentral.
AUCUAUAAGAUGAGAGUUUGAUCCUGGCUCAGGACGAACGCUGGCGGCAUGCCUAAUACAUGCAAGUCGAACGAGCUUCCGUUGAAUGACGUGCU